AGAGUUUGAAUCCUGGCUCAGGAUGAACGCUGGCGGCGUGCCUAAUACAUGCAAGUCGAACGAGUUCUUGUUGAUGAUCGGUGCUUGCACCAAGAUUCAACAUGGAACGAGUGGCGGACGGGUGAGUAACACGUGGGUAACCUGCCCUUAAGUGGGGGAUAACAUUUGGAAACAGAUGCUAAUACCGCAUAGAUCCAAGAACCGCAUGGUUCUUGGCUGAAAGAUGGCGUAAGCUAUCGCUUUUGGAUGGACCCGCGGCGUAUUAGCUAGUUGGUGAGGUAAUGGCUCACCAAGGCGAUGAUACGUAGCCGAACUGAGAGGUUGAUCGGCCACAUUGGGACUGAGACACGGCCCAAACUCCUACGGGAGGCAGCAGUAGGGAAUCUUCCACAAUGGACGCAAGUCUGAUGGAGCAACGCCGCGUGAGUGAAGAAGGCUUUCGGGUCGUAAAACUCUGUUGUUGGAGAAGAAUGGUCGGCAGAGUAACUGUUGUCGGCGUGACGGUAUCCAACCAGAAAGCCACGGCUAACUACGUGCCAGCAGCCGCGGUAAUACGUAGGUGGCAAGCGUUAUCCGGAUUUAUUGGGCGUAAAGCGAGCGCAGGCGGUUUUUUAAGUCUGAUGUGAAAGCCCUCGGCUUAACCGAGGAAGCGCAUCGGAAACUGGGAAACUUGAGUGCAGAAGAGGACAGUGGAACUCCAUGUGUAGCGGUGAAAUGCGUAGAUAUAUGGAAGAACACCAGUGGCGAAGGCGGCUGUCUGGUCUGUAACUGACGCUGAGGCUCGAAAGCAUGGGUAGCGAACAGGAUUAGAUACCCUGGUAGUCCAUGCCGUAAACGAUGAAUGCUAGGUGUUGGAGGGUUUCCGCCCUUCAGUGCCGCAGCUAACGCAUUAAGCAUUCCGCCUGGGGAGUACGACCGCAAGGUUGAAACUCAAAGGAAUUGACGGGGGCCCGCACAAGCGGUGGAGCAUGUGGUUUAAUUCGAAGCAACGCGAAGAACCUUACCAGGUCUUGACAUCUUUUGAUCACCUGAGAGAUCAGGUUUCCCCUUCGGGGGCAAAAUGACAGGUGGUGCAUGGUUGUCGUCAGCUCGUGUCGUGAGAUGUUGGGUUAAGUCCCGCAACGAGCGCAACCCUUAUGACUAGUUGCCAGCAUUUAGUUGGGCACUCUAGUAAGACUGCCGGUGACAAACCGGAGGAAGGUGGGGAUGACGUCAAAUCAUCAUGCCCCUUAUGACCUGGGCUACACACGUGCUACAAUGGAUGGUACAACGAGUUGCGAGACCGCGAGGUCAAGCUAAUCUCUUAAAGCCAUUCUCAGUUCGGACUGUAGGCUGCAACUCGCCUACACGAAGUCGGAAUCGCUAGUAAUCGCGGAUCAGCACGCCGCGGUGAAUACGUUCCCGGGCCUUGUACACACCGCCCGUCACACCAUGAGAGUUUGUAACACCCGAAGCCGGUGGCGUAACCCUUUUAGGGAGCGAGCCGUCUAAG
Molecule: ribosomal RNA, 1492 nt
Filed under: Lacticaseibacillus casei
Lineage: Bacteria; Bacillati; Bacillota; Bacilli; Lactobacillales; Lactobacillaceae
Description: bacterial SSU rRNA
Rfam family: Bacterial small subunit ribosomal RNA
Source: RNAcentral